AAAGAAUCCUCCUUGAAGAAACCACCUCUCCAGCACCAGGUUUCUUAGGUCGAAAGUAGGCAUUUACUGGUUGCACAACACCCAACAAUAUUGCCAGCAUUCCAAGCUUGACAUGUAAUGAGUGGAGGAACAGACCUCGAAGCUCGGCUACAGCAAAAAGAAAACCAAGGAAAACGAUUGAUAAUCCUGAGUAUUGCAAGUAUACGUGAAGUUGAAACCACCCAUCACCUUUGACAUGCUUUAAGUAUCUUGCAGCUAGAGUACCACCAGGAAGCAGUAUACCCCACGCAAGAAACAUCAUAAAACCAUGUACAGCUAAUACUGGCCGCAAGUCCUCCUCUGCCUCAGCAGAACCACGCAUAAGCAACACGUGAACAGGCCUCUUGCUUGUGACAGAGUGCAUAUUUGUUACGCUCAAGUGGUUGUCUGAC
This 431-nucleotide long non-coding RNA is filed under the name Coffea arabica (coffee). RNAcentral's name for it is "long non-coding RNA (CARA_LNC007970)". Lineage: Eukaryota; Viridiplantae; Streptophyta; Magnoliopsida; Gentianales; Rubiaceae. The record is from RNAcentral.